Molecule: ribosomal RNA, 253 nt
Filed under: uncultured bacterium
Lineage: Bacteria
Description: partial 16S ribosomal RNA
Rfam family: Bacterial small subunit ribosomal RNA
Source: RNAcentral
UACGUAGGGUGCAAGCGUUGUCCGGAAUCAUUGGGCGUAAAGAGCGUGUAGGCGGUCCGAUCAGUCCGCUGUAAAAGUCCAGGGCUCAACCCUGGGAUGCCGGUGGAUACUGUCGGGCUAGAGUCCGGAAGAGGCGAGUGGAAUUCCUGGUGUAGCGGUGAAAUGCGCAGAUAUCAGGAGGAACACCAAUGGCGAAGGCAGCUCGCUGGGACGGUACUGACGCUGAGACGCGAAAGCGUGGGGAGCAAACAGG